This 255-nucleotide ribosomal RNA is filed under the name uncultured bacterium. RNAcentral's name for it is "partial 16S ribosomal RNA". It matches the Rfam family "Bacterial small subunit ribosomal RNA", at positions 524 to 777 of the family's 1533-position model. The record is from RNAcentral.
UACAGAGGUCUCAAGCGUUGUUCGGAUUCAUUGGGCGUAAAGGGUGCGUAGGCGGCGCGGUAAGUCGGGUGUGAAAUCUCGGGGCUUAACUCCGAAACUGCAUUCGAUACUGCCGUGCUUGAGGACUGGAGAGGAGACUGGGAAUUUACGGUGUAGCGGUGAAAUGCGUAGAUAUCGUAAGGAAGACCAGUGGCGAAGGCGGGUCUCUGGACAGUUCCUGACGCUGAGGCACGAAGGCCAGGGGAGCAAACGGGG